ACACAUGCAAGUCGAACGGAGAUGAGCGGAGGGAGCCUUUCGGGGCAAACGAAGCUUAUUUUAGUGGCGAACGGGUGAGUAACACGUGAGCAACCUACCUUCCAGCGGGGGACAACAUUUGGAAACAGAUGCUAAUACCGCAUAAGACCCUAUCAGGGCAUCCUGAAGAGGCCAAAGUAGCAAUACACUGGAAGAUGGGCUCGCGACCGAUUAGGUAGUUGGGGGGGUAACGGCCCGCCAAGCCCGCGAUCGGUAGCCGGACUGAGAGGUUGAACGGCCACAUUGGGACUGAGACACGGCCCAGACUCCUACGGGAGGCAGCAGUGGGGGAUAUUGCACAAUGGGCGAAAGCCUGAUGCAGCGACGCCGCGUGAGGGAAGAAGGUUUUCGGAUUGUAAACCUCUGUCUUCGGGAACGAAAGAGAUGACGGUACCCGAGGAGGAAGCCACGGCUAACUACGUGCCAGCAGCCGCGGUAAAACGUAGGUGGCAAGCGUUGUCCGGAAUUACUGGGUGUAAAGGGAGCGCAGACGGGAAGGCAAGUUGAAUGUGAAAGGCGCGGGCUCAACCCGUGGAAUGCGUUCAAAACUGCCAAUCUUGAGUGAUGUAGAGGCAGGCGGAAUUCCUGGUGUAGCGGUGAAAUGCGUAGAUAUCAGGAGGAACACCGGUGGCGAAGGCGGCCUGCUGGGCAUUAACUGACGCUGAGGCUCGAAAGUGUGGGGAGCAAACAGGAUUAGAUACCCUGGUAGUCCACACUGUAAACGAUGAUUACUAGGUGUGGGGGGAUAGACCCCUUCCGUGCCGGAGUAAACGCAAUAAGUAAUCCACCUGGGGAGUACGGCCGCAAGGCUGAAACUCAAAGGAAUUGACGGGGGCCCGCACAAGCAGUGGAGUAUGUGGUUUAAUUCGACGCAACGCGAAGAACCUUACCAGGUCUUGACAUCGUGUGAAUAGCAUGGAGACAUGUAAAGCCCUUUGGGCACACAGACAGGUGGUGCAUGGUUGUCGUCAGCUCGUGUCGUGAGAUGUUGGGUUAAGUCCCGCAACGAGCGCAACCCUUAUCGUCAGUUACUACGCAAGAGGACUCUGGCGAGACUGCCGUUGACAAAACGGAGGAAGGUGGGGAUGAUGUCAAAUCAGCAUGCCCUUUAUGAUCUGGGCCACACACGUACUACAAUGGCCGAAAACAGAGGGAAGCGAAGCCGCGAGGCAGAGCAAAACCCAGAAAAACGGUCUCAGUUCGGAUCGCAGGCUGCAACCCGCCUGCGUGAAGCCGGAAUUGCUAGUAAUCGCGGAUCAGCAUGCCGCGGUGAAUACGUCCCCGGGCCUUGUACACACCGCCCGUCACACCAUGAGAGCCGGGGGGACCCGAAGUCGGUAGCCUAACCGCAAGGAGGGCGCCGCCGAAGGUAAAA
Molecule: ribosomal RNA, 1414 nt
Filed under: uncultured bacterium
Lineage: Bacteria
Description: bacterial SSU rRNA
Rfam family: Bacterial small subunit ribosomal RNA
Source: RNAcentral